This 485-nucleotide ribosomal RNA is filed under the name uncultured bacterium. RNAcentral's name for it is "bacterial SSU rRNA". It matches the Rfam family "Bacterial small subunit ribosomal RNA", at positions 28 to 495 of the family's 1533-position model. The record is from RNAcentral.
GAUGAACGCUAGCGGCAGGCUUAAUACAUGCAAGUCGAGGGGCAUCAAGGUACACGAAAGUGUAUUGUUGGCGACCGGCGGACGGGUGAGUAAUAGGUAGGUAACCUACCUCAUACUGAGGCAUAGCUGGGAGAAAUUCCAGGUAAUUCCUCAUGAGGUUAUAUGACACAUGUGAUAUAAUCAAAGGUAUCGCAAGGUACUGGUAUGAGAUGGGCUUACUGACCAUUAGCUAGUUGGUGAGAUAAGAGCUCACCAAGGCGAAGAUGGUUAGGGGUUUUGAGAGAGAGAUCCCCCACAUUGGAACUGAGAUACGGUCCAGACUCCUACGGGAGCAGCAGUAGGGAAUAUUGGGCAAUGGGCGGAAGCCUGACCCAGCCAUGCCGCGUGAAGGAAGACGGCCUUAUGGGUUGUAAAACUUCUUUACUAUGCGACUAACUAGAUUUACGAGAUAAUUCUAUAGAAUGUAGCAUAGACAAAAAGACACC